RNAcentral lists this ribosomal RNA (691 nucleotides) under Gyrodinium dominans. RNAcentral's name for it is "LSU rRNA". It matches the Rfam family "Eukaryotic large subunit ribosomal RNA", at positions 73 to 656 of the family's 3401-position model. Lineage: Eukaryota; Dinophyceae; Gymnodiniales; Gymnodiniaceae. The record is from RNAcentral.
GAUUCCCUUAGUAAUGGCGAAUGAACAGGGAUGAGCUCAGCAUUAAAAUCUGGGCCCCCGGCCUUGAAUUGUAAUCUCGAGAAGUGCAACCAACGGCGGCGCAGGUGUAAGCCUCUUGGAAAAGAGCACCAAUGAGGGUGAGAGUCCCGUUUGUCAUCUGCAGUCCUCUGUGUACGGUGUGCUUUCUAAGAGUCACGUUCCUCGGGCUUGGAGCGCCAAAGGUGGUAAAUUUCAUCUAAAGCUAAAUAUAGGUUUGAGACCGAUAGCAAACAAGUACCAUGAGGGAAAGAUGAAAAGGACUUUGGAAAGAGAGUUAAAAGUGCCUGAAAUCGCUGAAAGGGAAGCGAAUGGAACCAGUGUUUCUUGCAGAGCUUGGCGAGAGUAAUCUGGAUGGUGCUCUGAUUCAGCGCAAGCGUUUCAGGGUUCUUUGAAGGUGCAUUCUUGCUGUUGCUCUGCUUGCUUGUCAACGUCAAUUUGGAGUUGGGGAAAACUCUGGGGUACUGGAAGCCACCUUUCGGGGGGGUGAACGCCCUUGUAGAACUCAUCUCUAGAUUGAAGUGCUUGCGUUUGGUUGCAAUGCCUCACUCUGUGCCAGCUGCCCUGGUAAAUUCAGCAGGUGCGCGGCGCUCAUCAGUGGGUGCGUUCCUUGACGCUACGAUGCUGACAAAAUGGUUUCACUCGACCCGUCUUG